Molecule: ribosomal RNA, 353 nt
Filed under: uncultured bacterium
Lineage: Bacteria
Description: bacterial SSU rRNA
Rfam family: Bacterial small subunit ribosomal RNA
Source: RNAcentral
AACGAACGCUGGCGGCAGGCCUAACACAUGCAAGUCGAACGCUCCGCAAGGGGAGUGGCGCACGGGUGAGUAACACGUGGGAACCUACCUUCUGGUACGGAACAACCAAGGGAAACUUUGGCUAAGACCGUAUACGACCUCCGGGUGAAAGAUUGAUCGCCGGAAGAGGGGCCCGCGUCCGAUUAGGUAGUUGGUGAGGUAACGGCUCACCAAGCCUUCGAUCGGUAGCUGGUCUGAGAGGAUGACCAGCCACACUGGGACUGAGACACGGCCCAGACUCCUACGGAGGCAGCAGUGGGGAAUAUUGGACAAUGGGCGCAAGCCUGAUCCAGCCAUGCCGCGUGAGUGAUGAA